AUACGGAGGACGCGAGCGUUAUCCGGAUUCAUUGGGUUUAAAGGGUGCGCAGGCGGCCGUGCAAGUCAGCGGUGAAAGCCCGGGGCUCAACCCCGGAAGUGCCGUUGAUACUGCAUGGCUGGAAUGCGGUCGAGGCGGGCGGAACGUGGGGUGUAGCGGUGGAAAGCUGAGAUAUGCCACCGAACGCCGAUAGCGGAGGAAGCUCGCCAGGCCUGCAUGGACGCUCGGGCACGAAAGCGUGGGGAUCGAACAGGAUUAGAUACCCUGGUAGUCCACGCCGUAAACGAUGGGCGCUCGUCGUCGGCGGCAGACAGUCGGCGGCCAAGCGAAAGCGAUAAGCGCCCCACCUGGGGAGUACGGUCGCAAGGCUGAAACUCAAAUGAAUUGACGGGG
RNAcentral lists this ribosomal RNA (393 nucleotides) under uncultured bacterium. RNAcentral's name for it is "partial 16S ribosomal RNA". It matches the Rfam family "Bacterial small subunit ribosomal RNA", at positions 523 to 918 of the family's 1533-position model. The record is from RNAcentral.